AGCGAUUGUCAGAUCAAGAAGUCAGUGACGUGUGGAAUAUCUUCGCUUAUAAAUAAAGGUAAACUUCGGGGAAAAAAUUCCGAAUGUUGGAGAUCGUUCGCGGAUUCCCGAAUACUCUGCGCUUGUAAAACGGCGAAAGGAUAUCACUCCAAGCAGCACGUAAGGAGUUUCACAGAGGACGCUAACGAUUACACGACGGCUUUAUGGCCGCUCCAGGACCUGUAGCUCACUGCUAAAUUAUUCCACGGCGUUAAUGUAACGUACGACGCCGCUGGAAAGGGGUCGAUGGGUGAACACACGAUUUGCUCCGGUCUCGCGCAAAGCAUAUGGGAUAAUUGCAGUAGAUCAGCAAUUGACGAGUAAUGAAACAAUACUAUAUUUUAUGAAGAAAAAAGCAAGAUGCGUGUAGCGUACUUGGUCUUUCAAAGUG
Acromyrmex echinatior (Panamanian leafcutter ant) is the source of this 430-nucleotide RNA transcript. RefSeq lists it as uncharacterized. The record is from RefSeq and is a predicted model, not a curated record. NCBI's taxonomy places the organism in Eukaryota, Metazoa, Arthropoda, Insecta, Hymenoptera, Formicidae.